Molecule: ribosomal RNA, 505 nt
Filed under: uncultured bacterium
Lineage: Bacteria
Description: partial 16S ribosomal RNA
Rfam family: Bacterial small subunit ribosomal RNA
Source: RNAcentral
GACGAACGCUGGCGGCGUGCCUAAUACAUGCAAGUAGAACGCACAGUUUAUACCGUAGCUUGCUCCACCAUAGACUGUGAGUUGCGAACGGGUGAGUAACGCGUAGGUAACCUGCCUGGUAGCGGGGGAUAACUAUUGGAAACGAUAGCUAAUACCGCAUAAUAUUAAUUAUUGCAUGAUAAUUAAUUGAAAGGUGCAAUUGCACCACUACCAGAUGGACCUGCGUUGUAUUAGCUAGUAGGUGAGGUAACGGCUCACCUAGGCGACGAUACAUAGCCGACCUGAGAGGGUGAUCGGCCACACUGGGACUGAGACACGGCCCAGACUCCUACGGGAGGCAGCAGUAGGGAAUCUUCGGCAAUGGACGAAAGUCUGACCGAGCAACGCCGCGUGAGUGAAGAAGGUUUUCGGAUCGUAAAGCUCUGUUGUAAGAGAAGAACGGGUGUGAGAGUGGAAAGUUCGCACUGUGACGGUAUCUUACCAGAAAGGGACGGCUAACUACGUG